Molecule: ribosomal RNA, 388 nt
Filed under: uncultured bacterium
Lineage: Bacteria
Description: bacterial SSU rRNA
Rfam family: Bacterial small subunit ribosomal RNA
Source: RNAcentral
GACGAACGCUGGCGGCGUGCUUAACACAUGCAAGUCGAGCGGUAAGGCCCUUUCGGGGGUACACGAGCGGCGAACGGGUGAGUAACACGUGGGUGACCUGCCCUCAGCUCUGGGAUAAGCCUGGGAAACUGGGUCUAAUACCGGAUAUGACUCCAUGACGCAUGUUGUGGGGUGGAAAGCCUUGUGCGGCUGAGGAUGGGCCCGCGGCCUAUCAGCUUGUUGGUGGGGUGANGGCCUACCAAGGCGACGACGGGUAGCCGGCCUGAGAGGGCGACCGGCCACACUGGGACUGAGACACGGCCCAGACUCUACGGGAGGCAGCAGUGGGGAAUCUUGCGCAAUGGGCGAAAAGCCUGACGCAGCGACGCCGCGUGAGGGAUGACGGCCU